Molecule: ribosomal RNA, 406 nt
Filed under: uncultured bacterium
Lineage: Bacteria
Description: partial 16S ribosomal RNA
Rfam family: Bacterial small subunit ribosomal RNA
Source: RNAcentral
AUUGAACGCUGGCGGCAGGCUUAACACAUGCAAGUCGAGCGAGCGGCGGACGGGUUAGUAAUGUCUGGGAAACUGCCUGAUGGAGGGGGCUAACUACUGGAAACGGUAGCUCAUACCGCAUACCAUCAGAUGUGCCCAGAUGGGAUUAGCUAGUAGGUGGGGUAAUGGCUCACCUAGGCGACGAUCCCUAGCUGGUCUGAGAGGAUGACCAGCCAAAGUGGAACUGAGACACGGUCCAGACUCCUACGGGAGGCAGCAGUGGGUAAUAUUGCACAAUGGGCGCAAGCCUGAUGCAGCAAGGCCGCGUGUGUGAAGAAGGCCUUCGGGUUGUAAAGCACUUUCAGCGAGGAGGCGUUACUCGCAGAAGAAGCACCGGCUAACUCCGUGCCAGCAGCCGCGGUAAUUC